CUGCCCCAAUUCGCUAGGCAAAAUUUCAACACGUUUUCGACGUGAUGUGACAGUUUCAGCAACGCCAUCACUUGGGUAUUCCCUUCAACACCACAAACAAAAGCCACCAAACUUCACCAUGAUCGACUAUCAAGCUUGAAAAUUCUGAGUUUUGGUGGUUUGCGAUCUAGCCCUUUCUAUUGUAAAUGUCGGCGACCACCACCAUUAUCGAGAAGCCUUCGACAUCUAGAGAAAAGCCCUAGCUUUGGAUUGGAUGUUAGUGCAGCAGUGGCGCAAUGAGGUUCCUGACUACCCAUGGCUUUUUCGACUAAUUUUGCCUUUUUUCAUCCCAACCAACCUCCAACAAAGGUAUAAAACUUACUCCCCUUGUUGUAAGCUACGUUUUGGAAUUGACUGGAUUCUGGCAAAGGUUGGUUGGCGCACCGUCGUGUAUGGCGUGCGUGGCAUGAUGACCUAGUUUGUCUCCGUGUUGAUCCGACAGUUGGAUCAUUAUGGAACUAUAGUAUAUGUUGUUGUUGAAGUAAUGUACUGAUGCUCUAAAGAACUUAUAGAUCUGAAAUCUAAGGUGCGGAUCCAUCAUAUUGGAAUAUUUAUGUUAUUGACCUUAGCAUGAACCAUUUUGAUCGGAGGUUAACUUUUGGUCAACAUGUCCCUAAUCAUUCUAGAAUAUUGAAGUUAGCAUUAUUAGAUAGCUGAUAUAGCCUAGUGGGCCUACCUUGGUUUGUGUGCCAUCCUGGGUGAUGUGCAUCUUAGGUGCAAGUGGCACCUUACCUUCAUUUAAGUGUUUGUUGGGUUUCUCGAUGAAUGUAUUCUAUAAAUAAUAAGCUAAAUAAUGUUUGUAUACUUCGAUAAGUUUUGACUGACUUCUGGGCCUUAAGUUGGCGUGCUUUCGAGAUUGCCUUUGCAUUGGACAUGAGGUGAGUAGUUUGUUUACUGUCUUUAUAUAGAAUACCAAAAUGCGUAUAUGCCUCAAUGUAUGUCCUAUUGAAGUUAGCAUUGCUAUGUAAUAUGACAUAGAGAUAAAGAUACUGGUAAUUAGAAUUUUUAAUAUAACUAGUAAUUAAGGGAAUCCUUUGUGA
Malus domestica (apple) is the source of this 1079-nucleotide long non-coding RNA. RefSeq lists it as uncharacterized. The record is from RefSeq and is a predicted model, not a curated record. Lineage: Eukaryota; Viridiplantae; Streptophyta; Magnoliopsida; Rosales; Rosaceae.